CCUACGGGAGGCAGCAGUAAGGAAUAUUGGUCAAUGGACGGAAGUCUGAACCAGCCAUGCCGCGUGCAGGAUGACGGCCCUCUGGGUUGUAAACUGCUUUUAUAGGGGACGAAAAAAGGGGAUUCUUCCUCACUUGACGGUACCCUAGGAAUAAGCACCGGCUAACUCCGUGCCAGCAGCCGCGGUAAUACGGAGGGUGCAAGCGUUAUCCGGAUUUACUGGGUUUAAAGGGUGCGUAGGUGGGUCGGUAAGUCAGCGGUGAAAUCUUCGAGCUUAACUCGGAAACUGCCAUUGAUACUAUCGAUCUUGAAUCGUCUAGAGGUAAGCGGAAUAUGUCAUGUAGCGGUGAAAUGCUUAGAUAUGACAUAGAACACCAAUUGCGAAGGCAGCUUACUAUGGAUGUAUUGACACUGAGGCACGAAAGCGUGGGGAUCAAACAGGAUUAGAUACCCUGGUAGUCCACGCCCUAAACGAUGGAUACUCGACAUUUGAGAUAUACUUUAAAGGUUGUCUGAGCGAAGACGAUAAGUAUACCACCGUACGGAAGGUACGAGUCGUCGAAGAGUUAGUAAACGUUAACGAAAGGAAAGUUAGUUACGGCGUGAGGACGUUGCCGACGGACGACGACGAGGGAGGAGG
This 639-nucleotide ribosomal RNA is filed under the name uncultured bacterium. Its description in RNAcentral is "bacterial SSU rRNA". The stretch from base 1 to 538 matches the Rfam family "Bacterial small subunit ribosomal RNA", at positions 338 to 873 of the family's 1533-position model. The record is from RNAcentral.